CAAGAUGGGAUCAUGAGUUCACAUGUCCGCAUGAUUAAAGGUAUUUUCCGGUAGACGAUGGGGAUGCGUUCCAUUAGAUAGUAGGCGGGGUAACGGCCCACCUAGUCAACGAUGGAUAGGGGUUCUGAGAGGAAGGUCCCCCACAUUGGAACUGAGACACGGUCCAAACUCCUACGGGAGGCAGCAGUGAGGAAUAUUGGUCAAUGGGCGAUGGCCUGAACCAGCCAAGUAGCGUGAAGGAUGACUGCCCUAUGGGUUGUAAACUUCUUUUAUAAAGGAAUAAAGUCGGGUAUGCAUACCCGUUUGCAUGUACUUUAUGAAUAAGGAUCGGCUAACUCCGUGCCAGCAGCCGCGGUAAUACGGAGGAUCCGAGCGUUAUCCGGAUUUAUUGGGUUUAAAGGGAGCGUAGAUGGAUGUUUAAGUCAGUUGUGAAAGUUUGCGGCUCAACCGUAAAAUUGCAGUUGAUACUGGAUGUCUUGAGUGCAGUUGAGGCAGGCGGAAUUCGUGGUGUAGCGGUGAAAUGCU
This 525-nucleotide ribosomal RNA is filed under the name uncultured Bacteroidales bacterium. RNAcentral's name for it is "bacterial SSU rRNA". It matches the Rfam family "Bacterial small subunit ribosomal RNA", at positions 169 to 690 of the family's 1533-position model. The record is from RNAcentral. Lineage: Bacteria; Pseudomonadati; Bacteroidota; Bacteroidia; Bacteroidales.